Molecule: ribosomal RNA, 459 nt
Filed under: uncultured bacterium
Lineage: Bacteria
Description: partial 16S ribosomal RNA
Rfam family: Bacterial small subunit ribosomal RNA
Source: RNAcentral
CCUACGGGAGGCAGCAGUGAGGAAUAUUGGUCAAUGGGCGCGAGCCUGAACCAGCCAAGUCGCGUGAGGGAAGACGGUCCUAUGGAUUGUAAACCUCUUUUGUCGGGGAGCAAAAGACGCCACGCGUGGCGUUCCGAGAGUACCCGAAGAAAAAGCAUCUGCUAACUCCGUGCCAGCAGCCGCGGUCAUACGGAGGAUGCGAGCGUUAUCCGGAUUUAGUGGGUUUAAAGGGUGCGCAGGCGGAAGAUGAAGUCAGCGGUAAAAUUGAGAGGCUCAACCUCUUCGAGCCGUUGAACCUGGUUUUCUUGAUUGAGUGAGAAGUAUGCGGAAUGCGUGGUGUAGCGGUGAAAUGCAUAGAUAUCACGCAGAACUCCGAUUGCGAAGGCAGCAUACCGGCGCUCAACUGACGCUCAUGCACGAAAGUGUGGGUAUCGAACAGGAUUAGAUACCCUUGUAGUC